AGAGUUUGAUCCUGGCUCAGGACGAACGCUGGCGGCGUGCUUAACACAUGCAAGUCGAACGGAAAGGCCCUUCGGGGUACUCGAGUGGCGAACGGGUGAGUAACACGUGAGCAACCUGCCCCUAGCUCUGGGAUAGCUCCGGUAACCUGGAAUUAAUACCAGAUAUGAUCACGGCCGACAUCUGCUGUGAUGGAAAGAAU
Molecule: ribosomal RNA, 200 nt
Filed under: uncultured bacterium
Lineage: Bacteria
Description: partial 16S ribosomal RNA
Rfam family: Bacterial small subunit ribosomal RNA
Source: RNAcentral